This 406-nucleotide ribosomal RNA is filed under the name uncultured bacterium. RNAcentral describes it as "partial 16S ribosomal RNA". It matches the Rfam family "Bacterial small subunit ribosomal RNA", at positions 30 to 526 of the family's 1533-position model. The record is from RNAcentral.
AUUGAACGCUGGCGGCAGGCCUAACACAUGCAAGUCGAACGAGUGGCGGACGGGUGAGUAAUGUCUGGGAAACUGCCCGAUGGAGGGGGAUAACUACUGGAAACGGUAGCUAAUCCCGCAUACCAUCGCAGUUGCCCAGAUGGGUUUCGCUAGUAGGUGGGGUAAAGGCUAACCUGGGCGACGAUCCCUAGCUGGCCUGAGAGGAUGACCAGCCACACUGGAACUGAGACACGGUCCAGACUCCUACGGGAGGCAGCAGUGGGGAAUAUUGCACAAUGGGCGCAAGCCUGAGGCAGCCAUGCCGCGUGUAUGAAGAAGGCCUUCGGGUUGUAAAGUACUUUCAGCGGGGAGGCGUUACCCGCAGAAGAAGCACCGGCUAACUCCGUGCCAGCAGCCGCGGUAAUAC